UAGCAUAUCAAUAAGCGGAGGAAAAGAAACCAACAGGGAUUGCCCUAGUAACGGCGAGUGAAGCGGCAACAGCUCAAAUUUGAAAUCUGGCUCUUUCAGAGUCCGAGUUGUAAUUUGCAGAGGGCGCUUUGGCUUUGGCAGCGGUCCAAGUUCCUUGGAACAGGACGUCACAGAGGGUGAGAAUCCCGUACGUGGUCGCUAGCUAUUGCCGUGUAAAGCCCCUUCGACGAGUCGAGUUGUUUGGGAAUGCAGCUCUAAAUGGGAGGUAAAUUUCUUCUAAAGCUAAAUAUUGGCCAGAGACCGAUAGCGCACAAGUAGAGUGAUCGAAAGAUGAAAAGCACUUUGGAAAGAGAGUCAAACAGCACGUGAAAUUGUUGAAAGGGAAGCGCUUGCAGCCAGACUUGCUUGCAGUUGCUCAUCCGGGCUUUUGCCCGGUGCACUCUUCUGUAGGCAGGCCAGCAUCAGUUUGGGCGGUGGGAUAAAGGUCUCUGUCACGUACCUCCUUUCGGGGAGGCCUUAUAGGGGAGACGACAUACCACCAGCCUGGACUGAGGUCCGCGCAUCUGCUAGGAUGCUGGCGUAAUGGCUGUAAGCGGCCCGUCUUGAAACACGGACCAAGGAGUCUAACAUCUAUGCGAGUGUUUGGGUGUCAAGCCCGAGCGCGUAAUGAAAGUGAACGGAGGUGGGAACCCGCAAGGGCGCACCAUCGACCGAUCCUGAAGUUUACGGAAGGAUUUGAGUAAGAGCAUGGCUGUUGGGACCCGAAAGAUGGUGAACUAUGCUUGAAUAGGGUGAAGCCAGAGGAAACUCUGGUGGAGGCUCGCAGCGGUUCUGACGUGCAAAUCGAUCGUCAAAUUUGGGCAUAGGGGCGAAAGACUAAUCGAACUAUCUAGUAGCUGGUUCCUGCGA
RNAcentral lists this ribosomal RNA (909 nucleotides) under Curvularia kusanoi. RNAcentral describes it as "LSU rRNA". It matches the Rfam family "Eukaryotic large subunit ribosomal RNA", at positions 36 to 963 of the family's 3401-position model. Lineage: Eukaryota; Fungi; Ascomycota; Dothideomycetes; Pleosporales; Pleosporaceae. The record is from RNAcentral.